Molecule: non-coding RNA, 361 nt
Organism: Puma concolor (puma)
Lineage: Eukaryota; Metazoa; Chordata; Mammalia; Carnivora; Felidae
Source: RefSeq, a predicted model, not a curated record
CAGAACUGUGCAGUGAUUGAGUACGUGGCAGCUGGCCUCAGACUGUCUGACGUCUGGGUGUGAAUCCAGCUGUCCCACUGGUCUGGGCAGCUAGGCUGGGCAGCCUUGCUUGAGAAGCACAAGGAUACAUCCUGGUAGCUGGCACGUUCUAAGCAUUGUCAGAAAUUGCCGUGCCAUCAAUAAGGGACUGAUUGAGUAAACGUGGUCCUGCCAUCCAGACAGAAGAUUCUACAGCUGUGGCCCAAGAAUCUGGGAACUCUUACGUACCGAUACGGAACACUCUCUAAGACCCAUUCUUGAGUUGAAAAACAAAACAAAACAAGAACAGUAUGUGAAAUAUGUCAUUAAAAAAAAAAAUAGG